CAAAUGCUACGAAGAGGCGCCUUCUUCUUCUUCUUCCUUCGUUCUAGCGGCGCCGACGACUUACGGAGGCGACGAAGAGGGUUCAUCCACGGUUGGAACUGGGAUGGUUAGGGAGCCACAGUGAUGGCAAAGCCUCGAGCCCACCAUCCUUUGCAUUCCUCGGUGGUUCACCACUGCGACCACCGCGGUGCCAAGCACAGGUAAAGUACCAUAUCCAUUGAGUGCAAGAUGUUUUUUUUUUUGCUAUUUACUGUUUAUAUCGAUUUGUGAAUUGAACUCAAAGUUCUUAAGGGUGUGUUGUUGUUUUUGAUCUACUUAUAUUAUGUUGUAGUGUUUUGCAUUUCAUAUUACAGAUUGCUUAAAUGAAAAAGGACUUAGUAUGCAGUUAAUGGAUGAUGUGUUUUUUUUUGUUGAAGAGAAGAUAUUGAAAAAUGUCUUUCUUUUUAUUUCAUAAUACCAGGCUUACCGAUGUUAAUGACUAACACAUGUUCCUAAUGUUUAUGGAAUGAGUAGCAUAGGAAAAUAAAACAACAUACAUAAGGAUUUACAAACCAUAAAUUACAAGGUUAAUAUUUUUUAAGUAUUAUGUGUUAUGACCAUGACUAAAUUCCUACUAUCAUAAAUCAUUUAGCAUUUCAGAAUAACACUUGAGAAUGGCAUACAAUACCUGUUUAAGAUUGCUGACACUGGGAUGUAGUAGGAUGAUUGUAUGAAGUUCUAUUCCUUUAUCCUUUGGACCUUUACCUUGUAAUUGUCUGACACGGUGUCCCCUUUUACCAUAUGAGAACUCUGUAUAUAUCCCUUUGCUAGAUUUGUAGGUAUGUGGCAGUAUCUCUGAUUUCUUGUUGGAUAUAUGUGUAGGGAUUAUGCUCUCUGCUUCAUUAAGUGUGUAUGGGUGAUAUCACUAUGUUUUUUCUCUCUGAUUUUCUUGUGGUUGUGUAUGUAAUCUGCAUCCUUUUUAUACUGUUUGUAGGCAGACCCUUAGGCUGCCAAUUUUGAUCCAGUAACUGAUAAGGAUUAUGCUCUAUGAUUACCCUUUAUUACUGCAAUUAAGUUGAUUCUGUAAUUGGCAAUGAUUGCCCUUUAUUGCUGCAGUUAAGUUGAUUCUGUAUUUGGCAAGGAUUAUGCUCUAUGAUUGCCCUUUAUUGUUCCAAUUAAGUUGAUUCUAUAAUUGAAUUCAAUAUACCUUCUGAUUUGCAUUUUUUUGGAAUUCGGACACUGUUUUAGUUGCCAAAUGUCGUGCCUGAUUUCUAUCACUGAUUUACUGUGCUCCUUAUUGCUAUUGAUUGAAAUGCAACUGCCAGAAUGGGCUCCCUUUGUGACUAUUUUACAGCUGCUUACAUUCUCUUUUAAUAUUUCAAAUUGUAACUACCAACAAGGGUAACUAUUUUCUGAUCUUUGAUUUAUUUUUCUUAUCAUGUCUAUCCUCAUUUUUAUUACAUUGAGAUGAUAUUUCUUUCUCCUGAUACCAAACUAUUGCUUGAGCAGAGUCAGAACUUUACCUAAAUCAUUCGCUUGAUCCUCUAGUCAGAUGGUAAUGGUCUUGGGACACGUCAUAGAGAAGGAUGAAGGGAGAGGGAGUAGUAAUGGCAUUAUGAGAAGACUUUGAUGAAGAUGGCUUGGAUGGAGAAAAAAAACUAACUCCUGCCACGAGGAAGAAUGGCUAUGGGACCAUAUUUUUGCAUAUGCUUUGUUUUCCCUAGGUUCAUUCUUAUCUUGCAUUUAGUAGUUGUGCAUAUCACAAAUGUAUUCUGCCACAAUAACUUAGGCCUUGUAUGAUAGCAUAUUUAGUGGGAGAUCAAUAAUCGACAUUGGCUCCAAAUUCAUAGGAACCACGUAUUAUGACAAACGCAGUACACCUUCCAUGGAUAUAUUUUUUUUUUGCUUAUUUGGACUAUAUUGUUUAUUUUCCUUUUUAUAUUCCUUUAAUCAGUGGCUCUUUAUUAAUGAG
This 1951-nucleotide long non-coding RNA is filed under the name Lupinus angustifolius (narrow-leaved blue lupine). Its description in RNAcentral is "long non-coding RNA (LANG_LNC001851)". The record is from RNAcentral. Lineage: Eukaryota; Viridiplantae; Streptophyta; Magnoliopsida; Fabales; Fabaceae.